RNAcentral lists this ribosomal RNA (393 nucleotides) under uncultured bacterium. Its description in RNAcentral is "partial 16S ribosomal RNA". It matches the Rfam family "Bacterial small subunit ribosomal RNA", at positions 523 to 918 of the family's 1533-position model. The record is from RNAcentral.
AUACGUAGGUGACAAGCGUUAUCCGGAUUUACUGGGCGUAAAGGGCGUGUAGGCGGUCUUGCAAGUCAGAAGUGAAAUUCCUGAGCUCAACUCGGGCGCUGCUUCUGAAACUGCAGGACUUGAGUGCUGGAGGGGAUAGCGGAAUUCCUAGUGGAGCGGUAAAAUGCGCAGAUAUUAGGAAGAACACCGGUGGCGAAGGCGGCUAUCUGGACAGUAACUGACGCUGAGGCGCGAAAGCGUGGGGAGCAAACAGGAUUAGAUACCCUGGUAGUCCACGCUGUAAACUAUGAUAACUAUCUUUUAGCGAUACACAGUUAGAGGGUACGAGAAAUCAUUAAGUUAUCCGCCUGGGGAUUACGUUCGCAAGAAUGAAACUCAAAUGAAUUGACGGGG